UAAGCGAAUAGUGAAAUGACGAGGCUCAACCUCGUGUCCAUUAUUUGAACUGCCAAGCUAGAGAAUGAGAGAGGUCACUGGAAUUCCCUGUGUAGGAGUGAAAUCCGUAGAUAUAGGGAGGAACACCGAUGGCGUAGGCAGGUGACUGGCUCAUUUCUGACACUAAGGGCACGAAAGCGUGGGGAGCAAACGGGAUUAGAUACCCCGGUAGUCCACGCCGUAAACUAUGGAUGCUA
Molecule: ribosomal RNA, 236 nt
Filed under: uncultured Candidatus Saccharibacteria bacterium
Lineage: Bacteria; Candidatus Saccharimonadota
Description: partial 16S ribosomal RNA
Rfam family: Bacterial small subunit ribosomal RNA
Source: RNAcentral